RNAcentral lists this non-coding RNA (117 nucleotides) under Branchiibius sp. NY16-3462-2. RNAcentral's name for it is "SAM (S-adenosyl methionine) riboswitch aptamer". It matches the Rfam family "SAM (S-adenosyl methionine) riboswitch aptamer". Rfam says of the family: SAM-IV is a mRNA element that regulates gene expression via direct sensing of S-adenosylmethionine (SAM or AdoMet). RNAcentral also lists the same sequence under 1 other name. The record is from Rfam by way of RNAcentral. Lineage: Bacteria; Bacillati; Actinomycetota; Actinomycetes; Micrococcales; Dermacoccaceae.
GGUCAAGAGUCUCAGUCGUAAGCCCCGGCUGACUGAGCGGCAACCCUCCUUCCGCGGUGGGGUGCUCCGGGUGACGACCCGGCCGGAUCGCAAACAGCGUGACGGCAAGCGCGGACC